CUCCUGCUUCUGACUGAGGAGCUUGAAAAAGCAGAGAGAAACCAUGUGAUCCUUCAAGAGGAAGACUGUGGUCAGAGAUCCUCAAAGGAGGAGGAGGAAGAGCUGCUCAGAGUGACGGCGCUCACAGAGGAGAGAGAUCAGCUGCAGCAGGAGCUCAGAGAGGAAAAGCAGCUGAAAGGAGAGUUGGAAGGAAGGGUGGAAAUGCUGCUGGCAGAGAACAUGAAUUUGCAGACUGUUGGAGAGCAGAGGAAGCAGCUGGAGGAAGAUCUGCAGCACAGCAUGGAUUUGGUGAGCAGAAAGUCACUGAUUCACGUAUUUUUUAGUUUCUGUUUUUGAUGAAAAGCUGAGUUUGGGUUUUUCUUCGAAGGCAUCUUCAAGAGAAGCUCUCCUGAAGUCUGUCCAGGAGGAGCUGAAGGAACAGAAGAACCUCCACUGUGAUCUGGAGAAACUUCUUCAGGAGAAGGAGAGCUCCUUCAGCCACAAGAUGCUGGACUUGUCAGGACAACUGGAGAGCGCUGAAGCCGAGAGGAGGUCCCUGCUGGGUGAGAGUCAGAAGCUCACAGAGGAGAAGGAGGAGCUGCUGCGCAGAGUGACGUCUCUGAAGGAGGACAAGGAGCUGCUGGGAGCUCAGCUGGACGAGGAGAAGGAGAAGAUGUGGGACCUGCAGCAGAAGCUGAGCCGGCAGGAGCAGCUGGAGGCGCAGCGGAUCUUAGAGCGAGAGCAGGAGAGCCAGCAGUACCGAGAGCUGCUGAUUGAAACGAACAGAAACAUCUCCGCCCUCAAAGAGCAGCUGUUCGUUCUGGAGCAGAAGAGCAGAGAAAAGGAGGAGGAGAAGCAGGAGGGGGCGCCAUCUCGUCUGCAGGAGUCCAGACUUCUCCUUCAGGUGAGGCUGGAUCCGGUCGAGUCAUUGAUGGAAGGACCUUCAUAACCUGAAGUCUGAGUGCAGCAGCUGGAUGGGAUUUGUGGUUUUGCUGCAGGAGACUUUUGGGAAACUGGAGGAGUUCAUUAACACCUGCAGGGGGCGCUUCUCUGUCCCUCUGGACCCGGCUCUGAGGAGUGGGUGUUCCCUCAUCCACCCGUACAUCAGCUCUCUUCCAGAGGCCAGUGUGGCUGUGUACAUGUCCAUGCAGCAGGAGGGGCUGCAGAGCGUUCAGAGGCUGCAGAGCGUUCAGGUACGGACCUCCUCUCAGACGCUCCGGCUGAAGUCGAACAGACAGAAA
This 1220-nucleotide long non-coding RNA is filed under the name Oryzias javanicus (javanese ricefish). RNAcentral describes it as "lncRNA (ENSOJAG00000013240.1)". The record is from RNAcentral. Lineage: Eukaryota; Metazoa; Chordata; Actinopteri; Beloniformes; Adrianichthyidae.